RNAcentral lists this ribosomal RNA (253 nucleotides) under uncultured bacterium. RNAcentral's name for it is "partial 16S ribosomal RNA". It matches the Rfam family "Bacterial small subunit ribosomal RNA", at positions 524 to 776 of the family's 1533-position model. The record is from RNAcentral.
AACGUAGGACGCAAGCGUUAUCCGGAGUUACUGGGCGUAAAGCGCACGCAGGUGGCUGAGUCAGUCGAUUGUGAAAGCCCUGGGCUUAACCUGGGAAUUGCAGUCGAUACUACUCAGCUAGAGUAUGGGAGAGGGUAGUGGAAUUCCCGGUGUAGCGGUGAAAUGCGUAGAUAUCGGGAGGAACAUCAGUGGCGAAGGCGGCUACCUGGCCCAAUACUGACACUCAGGUGCGACAGCGUGGGGAGCAAACAGG